AGAGUUUGAUCAUGGCUCAGAUUGAACGCUGGCGGCAUGCCUAACACAUGCAAGUCGAACGGCAGCACAGUGAGGAGCAAUCCUCAUGGGUGGCGAGUGGCGGACGGGUGAGUAAUGCGCAGGAAUCUGCCUUGAAGCGGGGGAUAACUCGGGGAAACUCGAGCUAAUACCGCAUAAUAUCUGAGGAUUAAAGGAGGGUUUUCGGACCUUUCACUUCAAGAUGAGCCUGCGUCGGGUUAGCUAGUUGGUAGGGUAAAGGCCUACCAAGGCGACGAUCCGUAGCUGGUCUGAGAGGAUGAUCAGCCACACUGGGACUGAGACACGGCCCAGACUCCUACGGGAGGCAGCAGUGGGGAAUAUUGGACAAUGGGGGCAACCCUGAUCCAGCAAUGCCGCGUGUGUGAAGAAGGCCUGCGGGUUGUAAAGCACUUUUGUAGGGGAGGAAGUUGCAUGGGUUAAUACCCUGUGCAAUUGACGUUACCCUAAGAAUAAGCACCGGCUAACUCUGUGCCAGCAGCCGCGGUAAUACAGAGGGUGCAAGCGUUAAUCGGAAUUACUGGGCGUAAAGGGUGCGUAGGUGGUUUAUUAAGUCGUUUGUGAAAUACCCGGGCUUAACCUGGGUGCUGCGAACGAUACUGGUAGACUAGAGUAGGAGAGAGGGGAGUGGAAUUUCCGGUGUAGCGGUGAAAUGCGUAGAUAUCGGAAGGAACACCAGUGGCGAAGGCGGCUCCCUGGCUCCAUACUGACACUGAGGCACGAAAGCGUGGGGAUCAAACAGGAUUAGAUACCCUAGUAGUCC
RNAcentral lists this ribosomal RNA (799 nucleotides) under uncultured bacterium. RNAcentral describes it as "bacterial SSU rRNA". It matches the Rfam family "Bacterial small subunit ribosomal RNA", at positions 8 to 796 of the family's 1533-position model. The record is from RNAcentral.